GUAGGGUAUGGUGACAUGGUCCCGACCACCAUUGGUGGCAAGAUUGUGGGCUCCCUCUGCGCCAUUGCAGGUGUGCUGACAAUUGCCUUGCCCGUGCCUGUCAUCGUUUCCAAC
Molecule: non-coding RNA, 114 nt
Organism: Salmo salar (Atlantic salmon)
Lineage: Eukaryota; Metazoa; Chordata; Actinopteri; Salmoniformes; Salmonidae
Source: Rfam